CGGCGGAACACGUGAAAUUCCGUCGGAAUCCGGGAGGACCAUCUCCCAAGGCUAAAUACUCCCUAGUGACCGAUAGUGAACCAGUACCGUGAGGGAAAGGUGAAAAGCACCCCGGAAGGGGAGUGAAACAGUUCCUGAAACCGUGUGCCUACAAGUAGUUAGAGCCCGUUAAUGGGUGAUAGCGUGCCUUUUGUAGAAUGAACCGGCGAGUUACGAUUUGUUGCAAGGUUAAGCGGAAAAAGCGGAGCCGUAGCGAAAGCGAGUCUGAAUAGGGCGCAUAAGUAACAGGUCGUAGACCCGAAACCAGGUGAUCUACCCAUGUCCAGGAUGAAGGUAAGGUAAUACUUACUGGAGGUCCGAACCCACGCACGUUGAAAAGUGCGGGGAUGAGGUGUGGGUAGCGGAGAAAUUCCAAUCGAACUUGGAGAUAGCUGGUUCUCUCCGAAAUAGCUUUAGGGCUAGCCUCGAGGUAAAGAGUCAUGGAGGUAGAGCACUGUUUGGACUAGGGGCCCUUCUCGGGUUACCGAAUUCAGAUAAACUCCGAAUGCCAUGUACUUAUACUCGGGAGUCAGACUGCGAGUGAUAAGAUCCGUAGUCGAAAGGGAAACAGCCCAGACCACCAGUUAAGGUCCCCAAAUAUAUGUUAAGUGGAAAAGGAUGUGGGGUUGCUUAGACAACCAGGAUGUUGGCUUAGAAGCAGCCACCAUUGAAAGAGUGCGUAAUAGCUCACUGGUCGAGUGACCCCGCGCCGAAAAUGUACCGGGGCUAAACAUAUUACCGAAACUGUGGAUGAACCUCUUUAGAGGUUCGUGGUAGGAGAGCGUUCUAAGGGCGGUGAAGUCAGACCGGAAGGACUGGUGGAGCGCUUAGAAGUGAGAAUGCCGGUAUGAGUAGCGAAAGAAGGGUGAGAAUCCCUUCCACCGAAUAUCUAAGGUUUCCUGAGGAAGGCUCGUCCGCUCAGGGUUAGUCGGGACCUAAGCCGAGGCCGAUAGGCGUAGGCGAUGGACAACAGGUAGAGAUUCCUGUACCAGUGCUAAUUGUUUAACCGAUGGGGUGACACAGAAGGAUAGGGAAUCGCACGAAUGGAAAUGUGCGUCCAAGCAGUGAGUGUGAGAAGUAGGCAAAUCCGCUUCUCGCGAAGCAUGAGCUGUGAUGGGGAAGGAAAUUAAGUACGGAAGUUCCUGAUUUCACGCUGUCAAGAAAAGCCUCUAGGAAGAGUAGUACUGCCCGUACCGCAAACCGACACAGGUAGAUGAGGAGAGAAUCCUAAGGUGAGCGAGAGAACUCUCGUUAAGGAACUCGGCAAAAUGACCCCGUAACUUCGGGAGAAGGGGUGCUCUAUUAGGGUGCAAGCCCGAGAGAGCCGCAGUGAAUAGGCCCAGGCGACUGUUUAGCAAAAACACAGGUCUCUGCAAAACCGUAAGGUGACGUAUAGGGGCUGACGCCUGCCCGGUGCUGGAAGGUUAAGAGGAGUGCUUAGCUUCGGCGAAGGUACGAAUUGAAGCCCCAGUAAACGGCGGCCGUAACUAUAACGGUCCUAAGGUAGCGAAAUUCCUUGUCGGGUAAGUUCCGACCCGCACGAAAGGCGCAACGAUCUGGGCACUGUCUCAACGAGAGACUCGGUGAAAUUAUAGUACCUGUGAAGAUGCAGGUUACCCGCGACAGGACGGAAAGACCCCGUGGAGCUUUACUGCAACCUGAUAUGGAAUGUUUGUACCGCUUGUACAGGAUAGGUAGGAGCCGAAGAGACGUGUGCGCUAGCAUACGAGGAGGCAAUGGUGGGAUACUACCCUGGCUGUAUGACCAUUCUAACCCGCCACGCUUAGCGCGUGGGGAGACAGUGUCAGGUGGGCAGUUUGACUGGGGCGGUCGCCUCCUAAAGAGUAACGGAGGCGCCCAAAGGUUCCCUCAGAAUGGAUGGAAAUCAUUCGCAGAGUGUAAAGGCACAAGGGAGCUUGACUGCGAGACUGACAAGUCGAGCAGGGACGAAAGUCGGGCUUAGUGAUCCGGUGGUUCCGCAUGGAAGGGCCAUCGCUCAACGGAUAAAAGCUACCCCGGGGAUAACAGGCUUAUCUCCCCCAAGAGUCCACAUCGACGGGGAGGUUUGGCACCUCGAUGUCGGCUCGUCGCAUCCUGGGGCUGUAGUCGGUCCCAAGGGUUGGGCUGUUCGCCCAUUAAAGCGGCACGCGAGCUGGGUUCAGAACGUCGUGAGACAGUUCGGUCCCUAUCCGUCGCGGGCGCAGGAAAUUUGAGAGGAGCUGUCCUUAGUACGAGAGGACCGGGAUGGACACACCGCUGGUGUACCAGUUGUUCCGCCAGGAGCAUCGCUGGGUAGCUAUGUGUGGCAGGGAUAAACGCUGAAAGCAUCUAAGCGUGAAGCCCCCCUCAAGAUGAGAUUUCCCAUUUCUUCGGAAAGUAAGAUCCCUGAAAGAUGAUCAGGUAGAUAGGUUUGGAGUGGAAGUGUAGCGAUACAUGGAGCGGACAAAUACUAAUCGAUCGAGGACUUAACCAAAA
This 2514-nucleotide ribosomal RNA is filed under the name Listeria monocytogenes. Its description in RNAcentral is "bacterial LSU rRNA". It matches the Rfam family "Bacterial large subunit ribosomal RNA", at positions 415 to 2925 of the family's 2925-position model. RNAcentral also lists the same sequence under 2 other names. Lineage: Bacteria; Bacillati; Bacillota; Bacilli; Caryophanales; Listeriaceae. The record is from RNAcentral.